RNAcentral lists this ribosomal RNA (497 nucleotides) under uncultured bacterium. RNAcentral describes it as "partial 16S ribosomal RNA". It matches the Rfam family "Bacterial small subunit ribosomal RNA", at positions 28 to 507 of the family's 1533-position model. The record is from RNAcentral.
GAUGAACGCUGGCGGCGUGCCUAAUACAUGCAAGUCGAGCGAACGGACGAGAAGCUUGCUUCUCUGAUGUUAGCGGCGGACGGGUGAGUAACACGUGGAUAACCUACCUAUAAGACUGGGAUAACUUCGGGAAACCGGAGCUAAUACCGGAUAAUAUUUUGAACCGCAUGGUUCAAAAGUGAAAGACGGUCUUGCUGUCACUUAUAGAUGGAUCCGCGCUGCAUUAGCUAGUUGGUAAGGUAACGGCUUACCAAGGCAACGAUGCAUAGCCGACCUGAGAGGGUGAUCGGCCACACUGGAACGGAGACACGGUCCAGACUCCUACGGGAGGCAGCAGUGGGGAAUCUUCCGCAAUGGGCGAAGGCCUGACGGAGCAACGCCGCGUGAGUGAUGAAGGUCUUCGGAUCGUAAAACUCUGUUAUUAGGGAAGAACAUAUGUGUAAGUAACUGUGCACAUCUUGACGGUACCUAAUCAGAAAGCCACGGCUAACUACGUG